This 460-nucleotide ribosomal RNA is filed under the name uncultured bacterium. Its description in RNAcentral is "partial 16S ribosomal RNA". It matches the Rfam family "Bacterial small subunit ribosomal RNA", at positions 338 to 795 of the family's 1533-position model. The record is from RNAcentral.
CCUACGGGAGGCAGCAGUGAGGAAUAUUGGUCAAUGGACGAAAGUCUGAACCAGCCAAGUAGCGUGAAGGAUGACUGCCCUAUGGGUUGUAAACUUCUUUUAUAUGGGAAUAAAAUGUUCCACGUGUGGGAUUUUGUAUGUACCAUAUGAAUAAGGAUCGGCUAACUCCGUGCCAGCAGCCGCGGUAAUACGGGGGAUCCGAGCGUUAUCCGGAUUUUUUUGGUUUAAAGGGAGCGUAGGUGGGUUUUUAAGUCAGUUGUGAGAGUUUGGGGCUUAAACGUAAAAUUGCAGUUGAAACUGGCAGUCUUGAGUACAGGAGAGGUGGGCGGAAUUCGUGGUGUAGCGGUGAAAUGCUUAGAUAUCACGAAGAACUCCGAUUGCGAAGGCAGCUUACUAAACUGCCACUGACAUUGAUGCUCGAAAGUGUGGGUAUCAAACAGGAUUAGAUACCCUGGUAGUC